GCCGACCUUCGGGGCGGUUUACUCAAUUCAGGCCUAGCCUGAACACAACGGAAGACAGAUA
Molecule: non-coding RNA, 61 nt
Filed under: unclassified sequences
Description: L2-Alphaproteobacteria ribosomal protein leader
Rfam family: L2-Alphaproteobacteria ribosomal protein leader
Source: RNAcentral